Molecule: long non-coding RNA, 608 nt
Organism: Ictalurus punctatus (channel catfish)
Lineage: Eukaryota; Metazoa; Chordata; Actinopteri; Siluriformes; Ictaluridae
Source: Ensembl
UAGUAGUGGUAGUACUAGUAGUAAUAGUGCUGGUGGUGGUAGUAGUAGUGGGUAGUACUAGUAGUAAUAGUGCUGAUGGUGGUAGUAGUGGUAGUACUAGUAGUAAUAGUGCUGGUGGUGGUAGUAGUAGUUGUAGUACUAGUACUAAUAGUGGUGGUGGUGUAGUAGUAGUGGUAGUACUAGUACUAAUAGUGGUGGUGGUGGUAGUGAUUGUAGUACUAGUAGUAAUAGUGCUGGUGGUGGUAGUAGUGGUAGUACUAGUAAUAAUAGUGCUGCUGGUGGUGGUAGUGGUGGUAGUAGUAGUAGUAGUAAUAGGUGUGGUGGUAGUAGUAGUAGUAAUAGGUGUGGUAGUAGUAGUAGUAGUAAUAGGUGUGGUGGUAGUAGUAGUAGUAAUAGGUGUGGUGGUGGUAGUAGUAGUAGUAGUAGUAGUAGUAGUAGUAGUAGAAGUAAUAGUAGUGAUAGUACCACAAAUAAUAGUGGCAGUGCAAAAUCAGUACAGGGAUGAGAUGAACUGAAAGUCCACAGAGAUCUUAAACCUUUCAGAGAAGGAAGUCUGACAUGCCACAAGUGGACUCAGGAGAGUCUCUCCUCUCCGUCACUGUUUCUCC